RNAcentral lists this ribosomal RNA (299 nucleotides) under uncultured bacterium. RNAcentral's name for it is "partial 16S ribosomal RNA". It matches the Rfam family "Bacterial small subunit ribosomal RNA", at positions 775 to 1067 of the family's 1533-position model. The record is from RNAcentral.
GGAUUAGAUACCCUGGUAGUCCACGCCGUAAACGAUGCGCACUAGGUCGGGGAGGUUUUGACGCCAUCCCGGCCGAAGCUAAUGUGUUAAGUGCGCCGCCUGGGGAGUACGGUCGCAAGGCUAAAACUCAAAGGAAUUGACGGGGACUCACACAAGCGGUGGAGCAUGUGGCUUAAUUCGAAACAACGCGAAGAACCUUAUCCUGGGUUUGACAUGCACGGAUUAGCUUCCUGAAAGGGAAGUGACAGGCUUGCCUGGAACGUGCACAGGUGCUGCAUGGCUGUCGUCAGCUCGUGCUG